This 484-nucleotide ribosomal RNA is filed under the name uncultured bacterium. RNAcentral's name for it is "partial 16S ribosomal RNA". It matches the Rfam family "Bacterial small subunit ribosomal RNA", at positions 30 to 507 of the family's 1533-position model. The record is from RNAcentral.
AUUGAACGCUAGCGGGAUGCUUUACACAUGCAAGUCGAACGGCAGCGCGGACUUCGGUCUGGCGGCGAGUGGCGAACGGGUGAGUAAUGUAUCGGAACGUGCCCAGUAGCGGGGGAUAACUACGCGAAAGCGUAGCUAAUACCGCAUACGCCCUACGGGGGAAAGCAGGUGAUCGUAAGACCUUGCACUAUUGGAGCGGCCGAUAUCGGAUUAGCUAGUUUGUGAGGUAACGGCUCACCAAGGCGACGAUCCGUAGCUGGUGUGAGAGGACGACCAGCCACAUGGGGACGUAGACACGGACCAGACUCCUACGGGAGGCAGCAGUGGGCAAUUUUGGACAAUGGGGGCAACUCUGAUCCAGCCAUCCCGCGUGUGCGGUGAAGGCCUUCGGUGUGUAAAGCACUUUUGGCAGGAAAGAAACGUCGCGGGCUAAUACCCCGUGAAACUGACGGUACCUGCAGAAUAAGCACCGGCUAACUACGUG